CACUAACUACAUUACUAACUUGAAUUUUUUAGAGGUUGAUUGUUCAUCUUCUUGAGUAUCUAAGAAUUUUAUUAUUUUUUUCUUCUUUCAUUCCUGAAGCUCAGCUUCUAUUUAUUUCACUAUUUAUUAACUCUGUGAUUCAAAGUGAAUGAAGAGGGACAAGAGAAAGCAGGUUCCCAGAACCAUCCUCUGGGCUGGAUUUGAAUGUAGCCUUUAUAAUAAGAAGAAAUGUUGGAGCAAAGUAAGUGUGGGCAGAAUAUCAAAAUGGCUUCCUGCUGGAUUCUACUGUUUCCCAUCAUGGAGGAAUGAGGCCAGAGGAUGUGCUGAGCCAAGUUGUUUCCCACCCAAGAAACAAAAGAGCCCAUCAUCAGAAUCUGAUUCUUCAUCUGCUAAGUCUAUCCACUACUAAUGGAAAGUCGAUGGUUACUUUAUAUAUUUUUUGGAGGUCAAGUAAUAAAGAGCCAACUGCCUGUAAUUGUCUCCA
This 484-nucleotide long non-coding RNA is filed under the name Vulpes vulpes (red fox). Its description in RNAcentral is "lncRNA (ENSVVUG00000009354.1)". Lineage: Eukaryota; Metazoa; Chordata; Mammalia; Carnivora; Canidae. The record is from RNAcentral.